This 185-nucleotide ribosomal RNA is filed under the name uncultured Glomus. RNAcentral describes it as "partial 18S ribosomal RNA". It matches the Rfam family "Eukaryotic small subunit ribosomal RNA", at positions 569 to 766 of the family's 1831-position model. Lineage: Eukaryota; Fungi; Glomeromycota; Glomeromycetes; Glomerales; Glomeraceae. The record is from RNAcentral.
AGCAGCCGCGGUAAUUCCAGCUCCAAUAGCGUAUAUUAAAGUUGUUGCAGUUAAAAAGCUCGUAGUCGAACUUCUGGUUGGCGUAUGCAUGGCUACGGUCGUGUAUGCGUACAGCUAUCCUCUUGAGAACCACCGAGGCCUUAACUGGUCGUUGAUGGGUAUCAGGAAUUUUACUUUGAAAAAAU